This 401-nucleotide ribosomal RNA is filed under the name uncultured bacterium. RNAcentral describes it as "bacterial SSU rRNA". It matches the Rfam family "Bacterial small subunit ribosomal RNA", at positions 975 to 1375 of the family's 1533-position model. The record is from RNAcentral.
CAGGCCUUGACAUCCAAUGAACUUUCCAGAGAUGGAUUGGUGCCUUCGGGAACAUUGAGACAGGUGCUGCAUGGCUGUCGCCAGCUCGUGUCGUGAGAUGUUGGGUUAAGUCCCGUAACGAGCGCAACCCUUGUCCUUAGUUACCAGCACGUUAUGGUGGGCACUCUAAGGAGACUGCCGGUGACAAACCGGAGGAAGGUGGGGAUGACGUCAAGUCAUCAUGGCCCUUACGGCCUGGGCUACACACGUGCUACAAUGGUCGGUACAGAGGGUUGCCAAGCCGCGAGGUGGAGCUAAUCCCACAAAACCGAUCGUAGUCCGGAUCGCAGUCUGCAACUCGACUGCGUGAAGUCGGAAUCGCUAGUAAUCGCGAAUCAGAAUGUCGCGGUGAAUACGUUCCC